RNAcentral lists this small nuclear RNA (107 nucleotides) under Pongo abelii (Sumatran orangutan). Lineage: Eukaryota; Metazoa; Chordata; Mammalia; Primates; Hominidae. The record is from RNAcentral.
UUGCUUGCUUUGACAGCACAUAUACUAAAAUCAGAAUAAUACAGAGAAGAUGAGCAUGGUCCCUGCACAAGGAUGACAUGCAAAUUUGUGAAGCAUUCCAUAUUUUU